This 252-nucleotide ribosomal RNA is filed under the name uncultured bacterium. RNAcentral describes it as "partial 16S ribosomal RNA". It matches the Rfam family "Bacterial small subunit ribosomal RNA", at positions 524 to 775 of the family's 1533-position model. The record is from RNAcentral.
UACGUAGGAUGCAAGCGUUGUCCGGAAUUAUUGGGCGUAAAGGGCGCGCAGGCGGUCUGUCAAGUCAGUUGUGAAAUCUCCCGGCUUAACUGGGAGGGGCCAAUUGAUACUAGCAGACUUGAGGACAGAAGAGGAAAGUGGAAUUCCCGGUGUAGUGGUGAAAUGCGUAGAUAUCGGGAGGAACACCAAUGGCGAAAGCAGCUUUCUGGUCUGUAUCUGACGCUCAGGCGCGAAGGCUAGGGGAGCAAACAG